GCCGGGACUCCUUCAAGAUCGCCAGUGCCUUCCUUGCUCGGUUUGCCCUUUUCUCCGGGGUGACGUCACGGCGUAGCCGUCACACCCUCGAGACGUGCGAACGGCUCCGCAGGGUGUGGAGAAGGUGGAGAGUGCAGUUGGGUGAGGUAGCCUUGGGGUGUGGACUCCUGCCCGCUGGGCUGAAAGGCCUUGAGCUACGGGACGCAAUGGAACUGGGAAGCUUACCGUUUGACGACGCUUGUUCCAAGGCGGAAGUGCUCGCUGCAGCCUGUGUCGCCGCCCUCUCUGUAACCUUGUUGGUCUGGGUGGAGAGUUCCUGCCCAUUCUCAACUUUGGGUCCAGAGCUCAAAUGACCACCCAUCUUGGGGGCCUCCAAGAGUUGGGCUUUUUUCCCCCUGCCGCGGCUUGGGCCAUUAAGCAAGUGAGAUUCGGCCCAUGCGGUUUGGCGUCGUUUCAAGGGCCUUGACUUUUGUGUCACCUCCCUGAAUUUGAGUUUUCUCUGGUUGACCACGUAGGUCCACUGGGGAAGUUCUUGAGGUGAAAACUGAUCGCGCUCGGCAAAAUGAAAAAAAGAGGUUCAGCAUGUUUGGGGCUGGGUGCGAAACCGUUCCCUCUUGGACGUAUUUCAGACCCAAUAGUAGUCGUUAAGGAAGAGACCUUCACCCAGGCCCUGCCAGGCCCUGGAAGCUUGUGCUGAGCCCGGCGGGAGAAGGGCCACCGACCCCCAAAGUAGUCAACCAGGGGUUGCGGAAACGGAGCUGUUAGGUUGACACCUGGUUGGUGGGACUGGAGGACGUUUCAUGAAGGAGGUAGCAUUCGUACCGGACCUUGUAGAAGUAAUGUGAUUCCAACAGGUGGGAGUUGAGAACCUAGACUAUUCUGGUUACAGCCGGGGGGCCAUUUCCCAAGUUUGAAAGAACCCAGCCCUUGCUGUAGAAACUGGUUUCUGCCGUUACUACUGACACCUUUACUGCCGUGUGUUGCCUUUCUUUUUGCAGGGAGAAGAGGGAUGAUGAUUAAAUACAUCAGAUAAGAGCUAAACCUGAUGGUAAAGAUUAGAGAGAUCAAGGUUUGUGUCAAUAGAAUGAUGCAUAACCAUAGAUUCUUAACCUAGGAUUGUUGACCUGUGUGGACCAUGGACGGGCUUCAGAAGUUUCUAGUUUUUUGUUUUUGUUUUUUUCUGUUUUACUCUCUUGAAAUUACAUGCAGAAUAGUAUAUACUCCUGGGAGAGAUUUUGGCCACUUUUCUCAUUCCCUGUUCCCCGAUGGAAAGGAGCUGCUAACCUAAUAGUGAAAAUUCAGUAUACUCAUUGCCCCACAUUCUUGCAUUCAUUAAUGGGUUCUCUUCUACCUUCCCCACACACACGGUUUAGUUGAGCCGGGAUCUGCUGUGUAGAUGUGGUCAUUUUGCCUGUCUCCUGGGCUUUCCCAUGUGGCCUCGUAGAGGUUAAGAUUCCACGCUUUUAAUGAGCAAAGAAUUGGUGGCUGUUUGAGGCCAGGAGCCCAAACCUCGACCUCUUUCUCCGCUUAUAGAGUAUCUUCCAUGUGAGAGUGCUGUCGUAAACACUGGUAGACAGAGGUAAACAAAGUGACUUCCUGUUUUCGUGGAGGUAUAGUCCGAGAGAAAUAGUAAACAACCAAGCAAAUACAUAGACAAUUAUGUUAUAAAGGACAAUGCAGAAAAGGCCAGUGCAAACAUCAUAGCUUAGCCUGGCCUACCUUUAACAUGCUCAGCACAUUUACAUUCACCUACAGUUGGGCAAAAUCAUCUAACAUAAAGCCUGUUUUGUAACGAAUUAUUGACUGUAUCAUGUAAUUGAAUACUGUACUAAAAAUAAAAAACAGAAUGGCUAGGGACGACUGGGUGGCUCAGUUAAGCAUUCGGCUUCAGCUCAAGUCCUGAUAUCACAGUUCACAAGUUCGAGCCCUGCAUGGGGCUCUGUGCUAACAGCUCAGAGCCUGGAGCCUGCUUCUGAUUCUGUGUGUCCCUCUCUGCCCCUCCCCUAGCUCGUGCACGCGCGCGCACUGUCUCUCUCUUUUAAUGUUUAAAACAUUAAAAAAAAACCCAAUAGCUGUAUGGGAACAGUAUGGUUUAAGUAUGGUUGACCCUGGUGAUCACGUGGUUGACCAGGAGCUGUAGCACCUGCCACUGCCCAGCCUCAUGGGAAAGGAUUGUCCCGCAUAGCACUAACCUGGGAAAAGAGCCAAAUUCAAAAUUUUAGGUACAGUUUCUACUGAAUUCGUAUCACUUUUGUACCAUCAUGAAGUCCAAAAAGUAUAAAUGGAUCCAUUGUAAGUUGGGGACCACCUAUAUACCAUGCUACAGCACCCUUAAGGAGUUUGGAGAACACCCUCUAUGAGAAAACUGAGAGGAAACCAGUUAUUUAUUUUUAAUGUUUAUUUGAGAGAGAGAGAAUGUGAGCAGGGGAGGGGCAGAGCCAAAGGGGACAGAUAAUUCCAAGUGAGCUCUGCACCGACAGCACUGAGCCCGAUGUGGGGCUUGAACCUACCAACCACGAGAUCAUGACCUGAGCUGACGUCAGACACUCAACCUAUUGAGCCACCCAGGUGCCCCUCCUUUCUCUCUUGAGGAUUAGUUAAUGGUCCUGAACUUCUACCUAACUCAGUGCUGGGAAAAGCACGUUCCUAAAGUCAGAGAAUGCACUUGAGCAACAUUCACAGGCAAUCUUCCUCAUGUACUAGAAUGCUCUGAAAGCAAACUCCGGUAGGCCUGAAGGAUAUGAGCCAGGUAUAGACCGCAUCUACUACAGUGUGCAAACGCAAAAGUUGAGAAUCACUGCCUGGACUGAGAAACCUAGAGGGAAAGUAUAUUCACACUUCCCUUUCAUUCUUUGUUGCCGUUAAGCAGCUCACCAGCAUUGUGCUCUGCUUUUAGCACCUGCAGGGUGGAGGAAAAAAAAGACUGAUUUCGAGACUUAGUGAUGCCUUGAAGUGGUAAUUGAAGCUGUAAUCAAGUUUUGUAGGCUCCUUUAAUGAAAGAAAAAUUUUGAAGUCUUGAAAUUAAUGUGUGCCCUACAUAAGUAACCUAAAUAUAAAGAAAAGCACAAUUUUAUGUCUUUGUUAUAAACCGAUUUUCUAAGCAGUUCCAUGUCCGUGGAAUCUGCCCCCCACUUCAUCUGUCCCUUAUCACAUGUCACAGGUAGAAUAAUGUCAUCUCUUGUUAUGAGAGGGGACAAUACCCAUACCUUAUUUAGGUGUGCUUCCUCUCUUGUACCUGGAACAGUGCCCCCCCCACCCGCACACACACACACAGGCACAUAUUAGGGUGUCGUGUUGAAUAAAUAGACGGAGCAUGAGAGUACAGGAGACAUGCACAAGCUAGGAGUGUGUAGCCUGGUGAGAAGCUGCUAUCUUGGCAAACCCAGGAAAUAAAUGUCCAAAGGGACAGGCACUCAGAGCCUGUAAGAAAUAAGUAGGUGCAAACGUUACUGUAGGAAAAAAAAAAAAAUCGGUCUGUGCAGAAAGAAUUAGCAUCAAGCGGGAUUCUGAGCCAGAGAGUAGCUUGAGGGUCACCCCGGCUGGCACCAAGCCAACUUGAUGAGCUCAAGCUGAAUUAAGCAAAAGUUGGGAAAUACUUGACUGAGGUCGAGCCAGUUGCGAGGUGCCUGCUCCAUUUCCAACACUACUCUUAAGGGUUUAAUAUGUCUAAAAGGCUACCUCAUUAGGAUGUUUAUUGUAGCAUCACUGUAGUAGGGGAAAACUGGAAACAAUUUACAUGUCCAUUGAUAGAGGAUUGGCAAUUGCUCGUAUAUAUUAUGUGAACAUCUCAGGAUACAUAAAUGUGUGUUGGUGUAAUUAAUGCUAGCUGAAAUUACAACCCCAAAAGUUGGCUGGCUGAACCCAAAAGCUUAUUUCUCACGUAAAGUCCAAUGCAGAUGUCCCUGGUCUCUCUCCUCCAAGCAGAGAGCCAGAGAUUUUAGUUUCUAAUGUCUUGUGGCACCGUCUUCUAGGGCCUCCUUGGACUCCUCCCCUGGACCCUCUGCAUCCAGCCGGCUGGUUAGCUAAGAGAGAGAAAACCACGAAGGGCAGUGAACGCUGGAAAUGGUGUCAGUUAUUUCUUCCCACGUCGUGUUGGUCUGACCCAGUUGUCCGGCCCCAACCUGAGUCAAGCAAACUGGGACAUGGCUUCCUAUGUGCUCAGGAGGAAGAAAUGGGAAUGAUGAGCAUCUGGCCAAUCUCUGCUGCAACUGCUAAUUUUGGUGGCCUCCAGGCCAGAGCUACUGACUUGCUGAGGAAGAGAUGUAGGAGGAUUAUACUCUUGUACACAUUGGAUUUUAUAAAUCCAAAUAUUACCUCUUCAAAUAAAUUAAAAAAGAGGAGACUGGUGGAAUUAUGGGUCAUCCAUACCAUGAAAGAGUGAAGUACAUCUGUACGUACUGGAAUGGAACGAUCUUCAGUGAAGGUAAACAAGCAAGUUGUAGAUAAAUUACUGCUAUUUUUUAAAAAAAAUUUUUAAUGUUUAUUUUUGAGAGAGAGACAGAGAGGGAGCAGGAGAGGGAUACGGAAUCUGAAGCAGGCUCCAGGCUCUGAGCUGUCACCACGGUGCUCCACACAGGGCUCGAACCCACGAACCACGAGAUCAUGGCCUGAGCUGAAGUCGGAUGCUUAACCGACUGAGCCACCCAGGCGCCCCUGUAGAUAAAUUAGAUUUCAACAUUGACUUAGUUGCGGCUACUCUAACAAAUUACCAUAGGCUGCUUGUUUGAACAACAAACAUCUUUUUCUCACAGUUCUGGAGUCUGGGAAGUCCAAGACCCAGGUGCUGGUGGAUCUGAUGCGUGGUGACAGCCUGCUUCCUGGCUUGUAGGUGGCUGUCUUUUCAUUAUAUGCUAGUAUGGCAGAGCGCAGGAGCAGGCUCUAAUCCCAUUCAUGAGGGCUCCACCCUUAUGACCUAAUUACCUUUCAAAGGUAAUCCUAAUAGCACAUUUAGGAGUAGGAUUUCAAUAUAUGAACUUGGGGAGACACAAACGUUCAAUCUAUAACAUAUAUGUAUGUGAAUGUAUAGAGUAAGAUCUGGGAGAUGUUUGGAGGUGCAAAAGACACUUGUUCUAUGUGUGUUGUUAGAACUAUAAGAACGGGACAUUCCAAUAAUUGCUAGCUCUAACAAUAUAAAUUCUUGAAAGUAAUUCAUUAAGUUUGGUUCCACAACAGUAUUUUGGGGGCCCAUAAAUAUAAACCCCAGCCACGUUAGUAAUCAAGAAAAUGCACGUAAAAACUAAAAUGAGAUACCAUUUCACCCUCACCAGAUGGGCAACAUUUAAAAGCCAGAGAAUACCAAGUGCUGGCCGAAAUAAAGAGCCGCUGAAACUCUCAGACCUUGCUAGGUGGAAUGUCACCGGAUGCAACCUC
This 5370-nucleotide long non-coding RNA is filed under the name Lynx pardinus (Iberian lynx). Lineage: Eukaryota; Metazoa; Chordata; Mammalia; Carnivora; Felidae. The record is from RNAcentral.